AGAGUUUGAUCAAGGCUCAGGGUUAACGCUGGCGGCGUGCCUAACACAUGCAAGUCGAACGGUUCUAAGCGCGAGCUUGGGAUAGUGGCGAACGGGUGAGUAAAAGGUAGGAAUCUACCCCUUGGACGGAGAUAGCUACUGGAAACGGUAGGUAAACUUCGAUAAGCCCGAGAGGGGAAAGUGGUGAGACAGCCGAGGGAUGAGCCUACUCUCCAUCAGGUAGUUGGUGAGAUAAAAGCUUACCAAGCCGAUGACGGAUAACCGGUGUGAGAGCAUGAACGGUCACAAGGGCACUGAGAGACGGGCCCUACUCCUACGGGAGGCAGCAGUGGGGAAUCUUGGACAAUGGGCGAAAGCCUGAUCCAGCGACGCCGCGUGGAGGAAGAAGUCCUUCGGGAUGUAAACUUCUGAACUAGCCGAAUAAAAGGCCUGUGGACACACAGGAGAAGAAAGUAGGCUAGGAAAAGUCCCGGCUAACUACGUGCCAGCAGCCGCGGUAAGACGUAGGGGGCAAGCGUUACCCGGAAUUACUGGGCGUAAAGGGGGCGUAGGCGGUAAAAGAAGUCAUCUGUGAAAACCUAUUGCUCAACGAUAGGCUAGCGGAUGAAACUGAAUUACUUGAGGGCACCAGAGGUAGACGGAAUUACCCGAGUAGGGGUGAAAUCCGCAGAUACGGGUAGGAACGCCGGUGGAGAAGUCGGUCUACUGGGGUGCACCAGACGCUGAGGCCCGAAAGCUAGGGGAGCAAACCGGAUUAGAUACCCGGGUAGUCCUAGCCGUAAACGAUGCUCACUAGGUGUAGGGAGUGAUAAACUCUCUGUGCUGAAGCGAACGCGCUAAGUGAGCCGCCUGGGGAGUACGUCCGCAAGGAUGAAACUCAAAGGAAUUGACGGGGGUCCGCACAAGCGGUGGAGCAUGUGGUUUAAUUCGAUGGUAACCGAAGAACCUUACCAGGGAUUGACAUGUAACUGAAGGUAGAGAAAUCUACUGGCCUGCCGCAAAGCGGGAGGUUACACAGGUGGUGCACGGCCGUCGUCAGCUCGUGCCGUGAGGUGUUGGGUUAAGUCCCGCAACGAGCGCAACCC
RNAcentral lists this ribosomal RNA (1085 nucleotides) under uncultured bacterium. RNAcentral describes it as "bacterial SSU rRNA". It matches the Rfam family "Bacterial small subunit ribosomal RNA", at positions 8 to 1104 of the family's 1533-position model. The record is from RNAcentral.